This 646-nucleotide long non-coding RNA is filed under the name Equus asinus (donkey). Its description in RNAcentral is "lncRNA (ENSEASG00005023616.1)". Lineage: Eukaryota; Metazoa; Chordata; Mammalia; Perissodactyla; Equidae. The record is from RNAcentral.
CUCAAGUGGACUUACCGGCCAGGUUCUUGGUGGGGCUCAAGGUCAUUCCCCAGGCAUUGGCCUGUGCUGAGGUGACUGACUCCAGCCCCAGGAUUCCUGCUGGACGUCAUCUCCUGCCCUGUCAGUCAUUAAAGGUUUCACCUCUACUGCUACUGUCACCAUUGGCUUCGGGCAGAUCCAGCACUAGAUCACGAUCAUCCGUCAUCCAAGGCCAUCACUGAUUCUCCUUUCCCUGGCUUUGAUGUUCCUGGGGGGCAGGAGCUGUUGUGCCCCCGACCGUGGCUGCCCAGCGCUGUGCUUGCUAUGAAGUAGGUCAGAGCUCAGUUGUAUCCUUAAGGCAUCUGUCACUUCUGGAAUCCACUCCAACCACGAGGAGGAGAGUCCCUCCAACGCCUAUGAUAUGGAAUCGUCAGAAAAUUUUAGUUUUUAAAACUGGGAAUCUGGAAGGUUCAGUUCUUCAUGAUUGCACAGUAAUUAUUUAUUAAUAUUUUGUUUUUUCACAAACUGAUGCUUUUGAAAGAGAUAUUGUUAUUGGGCUGUUUGACUUCUGAGGUCAUCUCUUAGGGGUGGAGCAGUAAUAAAUGUGGGUCCACUUUCACAGUCAGGGUGCAGAUCCGUGUGACCCAAACUCUCACACUUCUUUCCA